GAUGAAGAACGCAGCGAAAUGCGAUAAGUAAUGUGAAUUGCAGAAUUCAGUGAAUCAUCGAAUCUUUGAACGCACAUUGCGCCCCUUGGUAUUCCGGGGGGCAUGCCUGUUCGAGCGUCAUUAUAACCCCUCAAGCUCAGCUUGGUGUUGGGGCCUGCCAACUGGCAGCCCUUAAAAUCAGUGGCGGCGCCAUCUGGCUCUAAGCGUAGUAAUUUCUCUCGCUAUAGGGUCCCGGUGGAUGCUGGCCAACAACCCCCAAUUUUCUAUGGUUGACCUCGGAUCAGGUAGGGAUACCCGCUGAGCUUAAGCAUAUCAAUAAGCGGAGGA
This 327-nucleotide unclassified non-coding RNA is filed under the name soil metagenome. RNAcentral describes it as "partial contains 5.8S ribosomal RNA, internal transcribed spacer 2, and large subunit ribosomal RNA". The stretch from base 1 to 120 matches the Rfam family "5.8S ribosomal RNA", at positions 35 to 154 of the family's 154-position model. The record is from RNAcentral.